UGAGAAUUUACCAAAAGGACCGGGACAACCACUGGAAACGGUGGCUAAUACCGGAUGAGCCGAAAAGUAAAAAGGGAAACCUGCCUUUUGAAGAGCUCGCGUCUGAUUAGCUAGUUGGUAGGGUAAAAGCCUACCAAGGCAUCGAUCAGUAGCUGGUCUGAGAGGAUGACCAGCCACACUGGGACUGAGACACGGCCCAGACUCCUACGGGAGGCAGCAGUGGGGAAUUUUCCGCAAUGGGCGAAAGCCUGACGGAGCAAUACCGCGUGAGGGAAGAAGGCUCUUGGGUCGUAAACCUCUUUUAUCAGGGAAGAACAAAAUGACGGUACCUGAAGAAUCAGCCUCGGCUAACUCCGUGCCAGCAGCCGCGGUAAUACGGAGGAGGCAAGCGUUAUCCGGAAUUAUUGGGCGUAAAGCGUCCGCAGGUGGCUCGUCAAGUCUGCUGUCAAAGACCGGGGCUUAACCCUGGAAAGGCAGUGGAAACUGAUAUAGCUAGAGUGCCGUAGGGGUAGAGGGAAUUCCCGGUGUAGCGGUGAAAUGCGUAGAGAUCGGGAAGAACAUCGGUGGCGAAAGCGCUCUACUGGACGGCAACUGACACUCAGGGACGAAAGCUAGGGGAGCGAAUGGGAUUAGAUACCCCAGUAGUCCUAGCCGUA
This 656-nucleotide ribosomal RNA is filed under the name uncultured cyanobacterium. RNAcentral describes it as "bacterial SSU rRNA". It matches the Rfam family "Bacterial small subunit ribosomal RNA", at positions 118 to 804 of the family's 1533-position model. The record is from RNAcentral. Lineage: Bacteria; Bacillati; Cyanobacteriota.